CCUACGGGGGGCAGCAGUGGGGAAUAUUGGACAAUGGGGGGAACCCUGAUCCAGCCAUGCCGCGUGUGUGAAGAAGGCCCUCGGGUUGUAAAGCACUUUCAGUGAGGAAGAACGCCUGGUGGUUAAUACCCAUCAGGAAAGACAUCACUCACAGAAGAAGCACCUGCUAACUCCGUGCCAGCAGCCGCGGUAAUACGGAGGGUGCGAGCGUUAAUCGGAAUUACUGGGCGUAAAGCGCGCGUAGGUGGCUUGAUAAGCCGGUUGUGAAAGCCCCGGGCUCAACCUGGGAACGGCAUCCGGAACUGUCAAGCUAGAGUGCAGGAGAGGAAGGUAGAAUUCCCGGUGUAGCGGUGAAAUGCGUAGAGAUCGGGAGGAAUACCAGUGGCGAAGGCGGCCUUCUGGACUGACACUGACACUGAGGUGCGAAAGCGUGGGUAGCAAACAGGAUUAGAUACCCGAGUAGUC
RNAcentral lists this ribosomal RNA (465 nucleotides) under Vreelandella stevensii. RNAcentral's name for it is "partial 16S ribosomal RNA". It matches the Rfam family "Bacterial small subunit ribosomal RNA", at positions 338 to 795 of the family's 1533-position model. The record is from RNAcentral. Lineage: Bacteria; Pseudomonadati; Pseudomonadota; Gammaproteobacteria; Oceanospirillales; Halomonadaceae.